GAUGAACGCUGGCGGCGUGCCUAAUACAUGCAAGUCGAGCGAACGGACGAGAAGCUUGCUUCUCUGUUGUUAGCCGCGGACGGGUGUGUAACACGUGGAUAACCUCCCUAUAAUACUGGUAUAACUUCGGGAAACCGGCGCUAAUCCCGUAUAAUCUUUUGAUCCGCAUGGUUCAAAAGUGAAAGACGGUCUUGCUGUCACUUAUAGAUGCAUCCGCGCUGCAUUAGCUAGUUGGUAAGGUAACGGCUUACCAAGGCAACGAUGCGUAGCCGACGUAAGAGGGGGAUAGGCCACAUGGGAACGGAGACACGGACAAGAGGCCUAAGGGAGGCAGCAGUAGGGAAUCGGCCGCAAUGGGCGAAAGCAUGACGGAGCAACGCCGCGUGAGUGAUGAAGGUCUUCGGAGCGUAAAACUCGGUUAUGAGGGAAGAACAGAUGUGUAAGGAACUGUGCACAGCGUGACGGUAAUGAAUCAGAAAGCAACGGCUAACUACGUG
This 497-nucleotide ribosomal RNA is filed under the name uncultured bacterium. RNAcentral describes it as "partial 16S ribosomal RNA". It matches the Rfam family "Bacterial small subunit ribosomal RNA", at positions 28 to 507 of the family's 1533-position model. The record is from RNAcentral.